RNAcentral lists this ribosomal RNA (113 nucleotides) under Pteropus alecto (black flying fox). Lineage: Eukaryota; Metazoa; Chordata; Mammalia; Chiroptera; Pteropodidae. The record is from RNAcentral.
UUUUAUGCCACCCUGAACGUGCCCGAUCUCAUCUGACCUCAGAAGCUAAGCAAGGUCAGGCCUGGUUAGUACUUGGAUAGGAGACUGCCCAGGAAAACCAGGUGCUGUAGGCG